UUGCUUUUGGUGAAAUUUUUCAAAGUGUUUUGAAUAUGUUAUGUACUUGGAUUUUCACAGCCAGUUUUCAUCAAUUUCUAAAUUCCAAAUGAAUUUUUGCCCAACAUGAUUUUUGUUCCUUAUUUCAAGGGCUUUCCAACCAUUACUCACAAUACUCGUUUGGACUUACCAUUUGUGAGUUUCGAAUUCAUUUCCGUUUAUGUGCAUUUUGGUAUUUU
RNAcentral lists this long non-coding RNA (218 nucleotides) under Lathyrus oleraceus (garden pea). RNAcentral's name for it is "Pisum sativum (pea) long non-coding RNA (PSAT_LNC036438)". Lineage: Eukaryota; Viridiplantae; Streptophyta; Magnoliopsida; Fabales; Fabaceae. The record is from RNAcentral.